Daphnia carinata is the source of this 980-nucleotide long non-coding RNA. RefSeq lists it as uncharacterized. Lineage: Eukaryota; Metazoa; Arthropoda; Branchiopoda; Diplostraca; Daphniidae. The transcript has 4 exons. The record is from RefSeq and is a predicted model, not a curated record.
GACACUGGGAUUGCAGGCACGUAUAAUAAAAUGCAAACGUCUGUGUUAUUGUUAACUAUUGCCUAAGCAAAGUGCGAAGAUUUAAUAUAUUUUAUCUAUAGCUCUAGAAUCUCCCUGCAAACCAUGACUUUAUUCAAUGCCAAUUUUGGACCUUACAUUAUGUGAAGAAACAUGAUUUGGAAGCACAUUAUUUAACAUGUGAGCUUGCCUUAAUGAAACAGGCAAAUAAAGAGGAUGGCAUCUGCUGAUCCGUCUAGAUUUAGGGAGUGUAACCUAAUUUACAAUGAUACCACAACAACACAGUCUUCAUUUACAGAUGAAUCAUGGAACAUCCCAUCUGACCAACCCACCUUUAUACCAGAAGCAUUAAGAGCACAUGUAACACACAUGACGAUAUCUUGUGGCUUAACAAAGUCAAACAGAAGAGAGCAUAGAGAACAGGAAUGUAAAAGACUUUUGAGAAGAAGAAGCUGCUGAGGUGCUCAUGAAAACCUGAAAAGACUUUGGCUCUGGGAACUUCAGCAAUUAUAUUAGAGCAAAUGAAAACCCAAGGAAACCAGGUACUACAACUUUGCACCAAAAAUUACCGUUAAAAGAAAGGAAGGCACAGAGAGAGAUGGCCUUUCGAGUGGCUCAUCUUUCGUUUGAAGUAUAAUAGCGAGUGAAAAUGAUUUUUCGGGGAUUCUUCCAUUGUUUUGAACUGUUCUACAUGAAGGGCAAAGUUGAACUACGUUAUUAUUUUGCUGUAAAAUUUUAUGAAUUGCGCACGUUCAGGAUGGAGUUGUUAAACAAAAUUUUUGAGAUUUGGUCGUCAACAGGAUUCGUAUGAUAAAUAAAGAUUUCGGUAACCUGAAAGCUGUUCAGGAAUACAGGCAUCAUUUUAUCUGACUAAGCUUUUUCCUGUUGGUGGUUAACCCUGACAUUUAUCAUCAUCCGCGCUGAUUGCGACCUUCGCCCUGCCUACCGUUUACUUACCUUGU